AACCGGGAUAAGCCCACCAUGAGAAUCGGUCGCCCUCGGCGUUCGAAUUGUAGUCUGGAGAAGCGUCCUCAUCGGCGGACCGGGCCCAACGUCCCCUCGGAAGGGGGCGGCCGGAGAGGGUGAGAGCCCCGUUGUGCUCGGACCCUGUCGCACCACGAGGCGCUGUCGGCGAGUCGGGUUUGGUUUGGGAAGUGCAGCCCCAACUCGGGCGGUAAAUUACCGUCCAAGGCUAAAUAUUGGCGAGAGGACCGAUAGCGAACAAGUACCGCGAGGGAAAGAUGAAAAGGACUUUGAAAAGAGAGUCAAAGAGUGCUUGAAAUUGUCGGGAGGGAAGCGGAU
RNAcentral lists this ribosomal RNA (339 nucleotides) under Vicia environmental sample. RNAcentral describes it as "eukaryotic LSU rRNA". It matches the Rfam family "Eukaryotic large subunit ribosomal RNA", at positions 96 to 424 of the family's 3401-position model. Lineage: Eukaryota; Viridiplantae; Streptophyta; Magnoliopsida; Fabales; Fabaceae. The record is from RNAcentral.